This 253-nucleotide ribosomal RNA is filed under the name uncultured bacterium. RNAcentral describes it as "partial 16S ribosomal RNA". It matches the Rfam family "Bacterial small subunit ribosomal RNA", at positions 524 to 776 of the family's 1533-position model. The record is from RNAcentral.
GACGAACCGUGCGAACGUUAUUCGGAAUCACUGGGCUUAAAGCGCGUGUAGGCGGUCCGGCACGUCGAUGCUGAAAGCCCCCGGCUCAACCGGGGAACGGGCGUCGAUACGACCGGCCUGGAGGGGGGUAGGGGGAGCCGGAACUUCCGGUGGAGCGGUGAAAUGCGUUGAGAUCGGAAGGAACGCCCGUGGCGAAAGCGGGGUCCUGGACCCCACCUGACGCUGAGACGCGAAAGCCAGGGGAGCGAACGGG